AUGGUGGGGAACCUGGAGCUGGGUGACGGGCCCCAUGCCCGCGCAGCUCUGGGUCACCCAGCCAGGAAGGGCGCCGGGUGGCGGUGUGCGCCCGCUCCAGCCCGGAUCUCGGGGGAUAUUCGGGAAGACUGGGGGAGGGGAGUGGAGGCUCAGCCCCCUGGCACUGGGCCCACCCCUAAGCCCCGACUCCCGGCCUCCCCCGGACCCUCCGGCGUCUCCCCCGGCACCCUGCUCGCUCCCCCUACGCCCUGCCGGGCGCCGAAGGGGUCAUCCCUGCUUCCCCGCCGGGAUCCGGGCCCCGCCGACUCACGCGGGGCAGACGCAGGUCCACGGCCUCGCCGAGCUGCCCGAGCCUGGCGCCCAAUCGCACGACACUCCCGGACUCCCGGCAGCCGAGCGGGCGGGGAACGGCGGGCGGAGUCGGCGCUCCGGCGGGCGGGGGGCGCAGGGGCGGGCAGGGGGCGGAGUCGCCGCUCCUUCGGGCGGGGGGCGGAGUUAUCUUUCCGGCGGGCUGGGGGCGCGCGGGGGGCGGAGUCGACGCUCCAGUGGGCGGGGCGGGGGCGGAGCCGGCGCUCGUGCGGGCGUGGGGAGCUCGGUGGGCGCGCGGGGGUCGCGGUCGGCCUUCCCGCGGGCUGGGGGUGGGCGCGGAGGCUGGUCGGGGUCCGCGUGCUUGCUGGAGGCGCGGGGGACGCGCGCGCAGCGGGAGAGUCAGAGUUCCCGCAACCGGGCGGGGCUGGCGCGCCCCCACCCGGACUCCGAGCCCUGGCCCAGGGAGGUGUCGCUGGCCCGCUGGACGCAGGCCGCUGGACAUCGCGGGGCAGCCGGGCGACGCUCCGCGAGCGUGUGUGGGCGGGGGCGGCCCCUCUCCGGGAAGGCUCGCGUGGCUUCUGCCCAGUGCGGUGGGAGCGUUUCCGACCCUGGGGCCGGCUGAGGGCGGCGAGGAGGCAGGGACCUUGCCCCUGGCACGUCGCGCCCUCUGCUCCGGGCUGCCUGUGGUCCUCGGCUCCCGGCCUCGCCUCGGGGCUGAGCCGUGAGCUCUCCCGUGGGUUGGGGAGGGAGGUCGGAGGGGGGCAGUGGUGGCGGGCCACAGGGAUCCCCGGCGACGGUCCAUCUUUGCUCGUUCUGGACCCCUUUUUCCUCUGGGCGCAGGGCCGCUUCUUAUGUGGCUGCGCCCCCCUGGGCCAAGACACUCCGCCAGGAUGCUCUCAGGCCCCCAGCUCACUCUGCAGCCGGGUGGGGCGGGUGGGGGGGGGUCCGUUCCCAAAGCCAGCCUGA
RNAcentral lists this long non-coding RNA (1275 nucleotides) under Panthera leo (lion). RNAcentral's name for it is "lncRNA (ENSPLOG00000000469.1)". The record is from RNAcentral. Lineage: Eukaryota; Metazoa; Chordata; Mammalia; Carnivora; Felidae.